This 586-nucleotide ribosomal RNA is filed under the name uncultured bacterium. RNAcentral's name for it is "partial 16S ribosomal RNA". It matches the Rfam family "Bacterial small subunit ribosomal RNA", at positions 355 to 1375 of the family's 1533-position model. The record is from RNAcentral.
UGGGGAAUUUUGGACAAUGGGCGAAAGCCUGAUCCAGCAAUGCCGCGUGUGUGAAGAAGGCCUUCGGGUUGUAAAGCACUUUUGUCCGGAAAGAAAUCCUUGGCUCUAAUACAGUCGGGGGAUGACGGUACCGGAAGAAUAAGCACCGGCUAACUACGUGCCAGCAGCCGCGGUAAUACGUAGGGUGCAAGCGUUAAUCGGAAUUACUGGGCGUAAAGCGUGCGCAGGCGGUUUGCUAAGACCGAUGUGAAAUCCCCGGGCUCAACCUGGGAACUGCAUUGGUGACUGGCAGGCUAGAGUAUGGCAGAGGGGGGUAGAAUUCCACGUGUAGCAGUGAAAUGCGUAGAGAUGUGGAGGAAUACCGAUGGCGAAGGCAGCCCCCUGGGCCAAUACCGACGCUCAUGCACGAAAGCGUGGGGAGCAAAACAGGAUUAGAUACCCUGGUAGUCCACGCCCUAAACGAUGUCAACUAGUUGUUGGGGAUUCAUUUCCUUAGUAACGCAGCUAACGCGUGAAGUUGACCGCCUGGGGAGUACGGUCGCAAGAUUAAAACUCAAAUGAAUUGACGGGGUCAUAGCUGUUUCCU